RNAcentral lists this non-coding RNA (767 nucleotides) under Philolithus sp. JR53. Lineage: Eukaryota; Metazoa; Arthropoda; Insecta; Coleoptera; Tenebrionidae. The record is from RNAcentral.
AGAAAGUUUUAUUAUGGCUUUAAAAUUGGUUAUUUAAUUUUUUCACAUGUAAAUUUUAGUAAAAGUUAAAUUUAAAUAGUUUAGUUUAUUGUUGCAGUGUAUAGUUUUAAGUAUUAAUUUAAUUUAGACUUAGAUAUUUAUUUAAAUGUAAACAAAAUUUGUGCCAGCAGUAGCGGUUAUACAAAUUACGUUAAUCAAUUAUUUAUAGUUUAAUUAAGCGUAUAAUUAUGAGUUAGGAAUUGGGUUUUUUAGGUGAAAUUUUAAAUUUAAUUUAAAUUUUUAUUUGUUGCUGAAGUUGGGAAAUUUCUUUUUAAACUAGGAUUAGAUACCCUAUUAUUGGAAAAGUGAAUUUUUAAACUAUAAUUAUUAAUAGUUAAUAUCUUUAAAAUUAAAGAUUUUGGCGGUAUUUUAGUCUUUUCAGAGGAACCUGUUUAUUGAUCGAUAGUCCACGAUUUAUUUUACUUUAGUUUUAAAUUUGCAUAUCGUUGUAAAAUAAAUAUUUUUAUAGAAUUUUAAUGUUUGAGAUUUAUUAUUAUAUAUUAAUUCAGAUCAAGGUGUAGUUUAUAUUAAAGUUUAAAUGGGUUACAUUAUAUUUAUAUGUGGUUUAUAUAGUUGAAAACUAUAUAAUAAACUGGAUUUGAGAGUAAUUUUUAUAGUUUUAUAGAAUGAUUUAGCUCUAAAAUAUGCACAUAUCGCCCGUCGCUUUCAUUAUAAAAUGAAAUAAGUCGUAACAAAGUAGGCUUAUUGGAAAAUGAGCCUGGAAUGAU